This 380-nucleotide ribosomal RNA is filed under the name uncultured eukaryote. RNAcentral's name for it is "partial 18S ribosomal RNA". It matches the Rfam family "Eukaryotic small subunit ribosomal RNA", at positions 592 to 976 of the family's 1831-position model. The record is from RNAcentral.
CAAUAGCGUAUAUUAAAGUUGUUGCGGUUAAGAAGCUCGUAGUUGGAUUUCUGCUGAGAACGACCGGUCCGCCCUUUGGGUGUGUAUCUGGCUCUUUCUUGGCAUCUUCUUGGUGAACGUUGCUGCACUUGACUGUGUGGAGCGCUACCCAGGACUUUUACUUUGAGGAAAUUAGAGUGUUUCAAGCAGGCAUACGCCUUGAAUACAUUAGCAUGGAAUAAUAAGAUAGGACCUCGGUUCUAUUUUGUUGGUUUCUAGAGCUGAGGUAAUGAUUAAUAGGGAUAGUUGGGGGCAUUCGUAUUUAACUGUCAGAGGUGAAAUUCUUGGAUUUGUUAAAGACGGACUACUGCGAAAACAUUUGCCAAGGAUGUUUUCAUUGA